RNAcentral lists this ribosomal RNA (1540 nucleotides) under Parabacteroides sp. CT06. RNAcentral describes it as "16S ribosomal RNA". It matches the Rfam family "Bacterial small subunit ribosomal RNA". The record is from RNAcentral. Lineage: Bacteria; Pseudomonadati; Bacteroidota; Bacteroidia; Bacteroidales; Tannerellaceae.
CAAUUUAAACAACGAAGAGUUUGAUCCUGGCUCAGGAUGAACGCUAGCGACAGGCUUAACACAUGCAAGUCGAGGGGCAGCACAGGUAGCAAUACCGGGUGGCGACCGGCGCACGGGUGAGUAACGCGUAUGCAACUUGCCUAUCAGAGGGGGAUAACCCGGCGAAAGUCGGACUAAUACCGCAUGAAGCAGGGAUCCCGCAUGGGAAUAUUUGCUAAAGAUUCAUCGCUGAUAGAUAGGCAUGCGUUCCAUUAGGCAGUUGGCGGGGUAACGGCCCACCAAACCGACGAUGGAUAGGGGUUCUGAGAGGAAGGUCCCCCACAUUGGUACUGAGACACGGACCAAACUCCUACGGGAGGCAGCAGUGAGGAAUAUUGGUCAAUGGCCGAGAGGCUGAACCAGCCAAGUCGCGUGAGGGAUGAAGGUUCUAUGGAUCGUAAACCUCUUUUAUAAGGGAAUAAAGUGCGGGACGUGUCCCGUUUUGUAUGUACCUUAUGAAUAAGGAUCGGCUAACUCCGUGCCAGCAGCCGCGGUAAUACGGAGGAUCCGAGCGUUAUCCGGAUUUAUUGGGUUUAAAGGGUGCGUAGGCGGCCUUUUAAGUCAGCGGUGAAAGUCUGUGGCUCAACCAUAGAAUUGCCGUUGAAACUGGGGGGCUUGAGUAUGUUUGAGGCAGGCGGAAUGCGUGGUGUAGCGGUGAAAUGCUUAGAUAUCACGCAGAACCCCGAUUGCGAAGGCAGCCUGCCAAGCCAUGACUGACGCUGAUGCACGAAAGCGUGGGGAUCAAACAGGAUUAGAUACCCUGGUAGUCCACGCAGUAAACGAUGAUCACUAGCUGUUUGCGAUACACUGUAAGCGGCACAGCGAAAGCGUUAAGUGAUCCACCUGGGGAGUACGCCGGCAACGGUGAAACUCAAAGGAAUUGACGGGGGCCCGCACAAGCGGAGGAACAUGUGGUUUAAUUCGAUGAUACGCGAGGAACCUUACCCGGGUUUGAACGCAUUCGGACCGAGGUGGAAACACCUUUUCUAGCAAUAGCCGUUUGCGAGGUGCUGCAUGGUUGUCGUCAGCUCGUGCCGUGAGGUGUCGGCUUAAGUGCCAUAACGAGCGCAACCCUUGCCACUAGUUACUAACAGGUGAUGCUGAGGACUCUGGUGGGACUGCCAGCGUAAGCUGCGAGGAAGGCGGGGAUGACGUCAAAUCAGCACGGCCCUUACAUCCGGGGCGACACACGUGUUACAAUGGCGUGGACAAAGGGAGGCCACCUGGCGACAGGGAGCGAAUCCCCAAACCACGUCUCAGUUCGGAUCGGAGUCUGCAACCCGACUCCGUGAAGCUGGAUUCGCUAGUAAUCGCGCAUCAGCCAUGGCGCGGUGAAUACGUUCCCGGGCCUUGUACACACCGCCCGUCAAGCCAUGGGAGCCGGGGGUACCUGAAGUCCGUAACCGCGAGGAUCGGCCUAGGGUAAAACUGGUGACUGGGGCUAAGUCGUAACAAGGUAGCCGUACCGGAAGGUGCGGCUGGAACACCUCCUUUCUGGAGC